Molecule: long non-coding RNA, 665 nt
Organism: Populus euphratica (Euphrates poplar)
Lineage: Eukaryota; Viridiplantae; Streptophyta; Magnoliopsida; Malpighiales; Salicaceae
Exons: 2
Source: RefSeq, a predicted model, not a curated record
CGCUCUUCCCUGAAAUCUGCCAAGUCUGGUUCGAUUUCGGCCACGACCAGGUGUUUGCGUACCUGCUAUUGUCAGCGAACACAGCGGGUACGGAGCUGGCGAGGACACUGAAGGACACGUGCACGGAUAAUAAAGCGUUCUGUGUGCAAUCAGAUGUAGCGAUUGUUUUGGGUUUCGCCGGGUUUUUGUUUUUGGGCAUCUCGUCCUUGUUUUCGGGUUUUCGGGUGGUUUGUUUUAUAAUCAACGGCUCUCGUUUUUAUGUUUAGAUUAAUAGUAGACUAGGUUAAUCCUGUAUGAGAUUACUUAAGAUUGGACAGACAGUGAGGGAAUAUUUUGGGUAAGCGUGUGAGCAAUUUCACGUUUUUACUGUGUGAGAUUGAUUUGCGUGUCUGUCUGCCUUUGAUGUUUAUGUUUGUGGCAGCGAUGAUGAUGAUGAUGAUGUUCUAUAGUACAUUUAGUACUGUGCACAUGGGUUUAUGUAUUAUUGGAUUCCUCGCUAAUCUUAUUUCUUGUUUGAAUAAGGUUCCUGUCAGGAGCCCGAGCUCAGCGCUUAGUGCACGACCACUCGGACGUGUCCUUUUUUUUCCCGUCUUGGCAUGUGAAUUCCGGGCAUUGUUUUUGUUUUUCUCUCUAUCUCAACAGUCAUCUUCAAAUUUUAGACAGCA